CUUUUUUUUUUAUCACUGUUCCGUUUCCUCUUCUAAUCAGUUGAAAAACUGAGAGUUACAGAUCAAUGUGAAGCACUAUCUGACAUUAAAGGCGUGUCUACUCUCUGUAAGAAGGUGUAUCUACACCUAUAUAAAGGUUAUCAUUCUUCACUUGAAUAUCUAUACAUGUCCGUUUCUUCUCGAUCAGACCAAGCUCUCUCUACUUUACGGUUAUAUGGAAGCGAUCUCUGCUUCACUUCAAAACCCUAAUCUUAUCCCCAAGAUCUCUCACUCUUCUGGUCCUCUUUCUGCAACCACCGUGGAGAUUCCGAAGCCUGCUUUCGUUUCUGUAGAGAAGGUGCCGGCUAAAUCUCCAACGAAAAGAUCCUCUGUGUCUGAUAAUGGAGGAGACGAGACUGAUUUGCCAACCACCACGAGUGAGAUCAUUCUUUCAAGAUGCUAAGUGAGUUACUGGAAACUGGGAUCUGAAACAAUCCGAGGCAAAACAGAUCGGGAUUCGGCGAUAGUUCAUGAGACAAAGAGGAGAAAGUGGCUUGAAGAUAACUCAGAAACAACUACUAACGGUUUUUUUCUCUUUGAUACCUCGAUUAUCCAAUGGUGGGCAUGGAUGAAGCAAUAUCAUCACAAGAAUAUCAACUCAUCAAUUAACGGUGAAAUUUGAAGUUUUUGUCUUGCAGGUCGUGCUGCAGUGAUAGGGUUCUUCAUGGCUUACACUUUUGUUCCUGUCAUGAAUCCGGAUUUUUUUUCGUAUUGAAAUCUAGAGGUCUGUUUGAAAUUUGUAGGUUGAAAAAGGGUUUAAAGAUGUUGUCCAAGAGAUUGAAUCUGAAGUUAGCUGCAAGCUGGAGGAAGGUAAACCUGGGAUGCCAUUAGAUAAGAGAUUCAUCACGAGUUUAUUGAGUUUAUACCUUCUGUGCUUUCAGUUUUCACCAGAAGGAUAGGAGACGAUACACCAGGUUGCAGCAUGUGAUUUUUGAGUUAGAAGCUUCAGAAUUGGUUGGAUCAAUUAAUAGACCACGUGCCUGGCCAGCCUUUCGAGCGUAUGGUUUGGAGUUAACUGAAGUGCUGAGUAAUCUUACAGAUUGGAAGGUGAAUAUGGUGAUAAGAGAGGCUAACUGGGGUGCUUUCUUGAUUGCUCAAAGCGUGACAAAGGAGAUGAGACUUCAGUCCUAUGUGGCCCAGGGUAACCUUCUUUGUUACAUGGUUUGCUUGCAGAGGAAGGUACGGGGAACAGCGUGUAACAGAUGAUGGUGGAGUUGAAUGUCUAUGGUGAAGCUAUGUGUUUUUGGAGAGAAGGUGGAGUUUUAAGCUCUUAGCGUUUCUAUUCGCUUUUUAGUUUUUAGUGUAAUUUCAAUUGUUGUUUGAGGUUCCUUUUGAAUCUUUAUGGUGUUUUUGACACUUUCCAUUUCCUCAAGAGUAAAAAAAAUUGGUUUGUGUUUCAUGGCCUGAUUUGUAAGAUUUAAAUAUAAAGUUUUGGUCUUUUGGGUGGUA
Molecule: long non-coding RNA, 1488 nt
Organism: Brassica napus (rape)
Lineage: Eukaryota; Viridiplantae; Streptophyta; Magnoliopsida; Brassicales; Brassicaceae
Exons: 3
Source: RefSeq, a predicted model, not a curated record